RNAcentral lists this ribosomal RNA (400 nucleotides) under uncultured bacterium. Its description in RNAcentral is "bacterial SSU rRNA". It matches the Rfam family "Bacterial small subunit ribosomal RNA", at positions 355 to 772 of the family's 1533-position model. The record is from RNAcentral.
UGGGGAAUCUUGCACAAUGGGGGAAACCCUGAUGCAGCGACGCCGCGUGAGUGAUGAAGGCCUUCGGGUUGUAAAGCUCUUUCGGCAGGGAAGAUGAUGACGGUACCUGCAGAAGCAGCUGCGGCUAACUACGUGCCAGCAGCCGCGGUAAUACGUAGGCAGCAAGCGUUGUUCGGAGUUACUGGGCGUAAAGGGUGUGUAGGCGGUUCUUUAAGUUUGGUGUGAAAUCUCCCGGCUCAACCGGGAGGGUGCGCCGAAGACUGGAGAUCUCGAGUGCGGGAGAGGAGAGUGGAAUUCCUGGUGUAGCGGUGAAAUGCGUAGAUAUCAGGAGGAACACCGGUGGUGUAGGCGGCUCUCUGGACCGUUACUGACGCUGAGACACGAAAGCGUGGGGAGCAAA